CCUACGGGAGGCUGCAGUGGGGGAUAUUGCACAAUGGGGGGAACCCUGAUGCAGCGACGCCGCGUGGGUGAAGGAGCGUUUCGGCGCGUAAAGCCCUAUCGGCAGGGAAGAAGGAGGACGGUACCUGACCAAGAAGCCCCGGCUAACUACGUGCCAGCAGCCGCGGUAAUACGUAGGGGGCAAGCGUUAUCCGGAUUUACUGGGUGUAAAGGGGGCGCAGACGGCAGCGCAAGCCAGGAGUGAAAGCCCGGGGCCCAACCCCGGGACUGCUCUUGGAACUGCGCGGCUGGAGUGCAGGAGGGGCAGGCGGAAUUCGUGGUGUAGCGGUGAAAUGCGUAGAUAUCAGGAGGAACACCGGUGGCGAAGGCGGCCUGCUGGACUGCGACUGACGUUGAGGCCCGAAAGCGUGGGGAGCAAACAGGAUUAGAUACCCCAGUAGUC
This 441-nucleotide ribosomal RNA is filed under the name uncultured bacterium. RNAcentral's name for it is "partial 16S ribosomal RNA". It matches the Rfam family "Bacterial small subunit ribosomal RNA", at positions 338 to 795 of the family's 1533-position model. The record is from RNAcentral.